Molecule: ribosomal RNA, 485 nt
Filed under: uncultured bacterium
Lineage: Bacteria
Description: partial 16S ribosomal RNA
Rfam family: Bacterial small subunit ribosomal RNA
Source: RNAcentral
AUUGAACGCUGGCGGCAUGCCUUACACAUGCAAGUCGAACGGCAGCACGGGUGCUUGCACCUGGUGGCGAGUGGCGAACGGGUGAGUAAUACAUCGGAACAUGUCCUGUAGUGGGGGAUAGCCCGGCGAAAGCCGGAUUAAUACCGCAUACGAUCCACGGAUGAAAGCGGGGGACCUUCGGGCCUCGCGCUAUAGGGUUGGCCGAUGGCUGAUUAGCUAGUUGGUGGGGUAAAGGCCUACCAAGGCGACGAUCAGUAGCUGGUCUGAGAGGACGACCAGCCACACUGGGACUGAGACACGGCCCAGCCUCCUACGGGAGGCAGCAGUGGGGAAUUUUGGACAAUGGGCGAAAGCCUGAUCCAGCAAUGCCGCGUGUGUGAAGAAGGACUUCGGGUUGUAAAGCACUUUUGUCCGGAAAGAAAUCCUUGACUCUAAUACAGUCGGGGGAUGACGGUACCGGAAGAAUAAGCACCGGCUAACUACGU